This 329-nucleotide ribosomal RNA is filed under the name uncultured bacterium. Its description in RNAcentral is "bacterial SSU rRNA". It matches the Rfam family "Bacterial small subunit ribosomal RNA", at positions 568 to 898 of the family's 1533-position model. The record is from RNAcentral.
UGCGUAGGCGGUCCCGCAAGUCCGUUGUGAAAGCCCCGGGCUUAACCUGGGAAUGGCAGUGGAAACUAGGGGACUUGAAUCUGGCAGAGGGGGUGGAAUGCCACGUGUAGCAGUGAAAUGCGUAGAGAUGCGGCGGAACACCGAUGGCGAAGGCAGCCCCCUGGGCUGAGAUUGACGCUCAGGCACGAAAGCGUGGGGAGCAAACAGGAUUAGAUACCCUGGUAGUCCACGCCCUAAACGAUGAUCACUAGGUGUUGGGGAAGCGAUUUCUCAGUACCGCAGCUAACGCGUGAAGUGAUCCGCCUGGGGAGUACGGUCGCGAGAUUAAA